RNAcentral lists this ribosomal RNA (404 nucleotides) under uncultured bacterium. RNAcentral's name for it is "bacterial SSU rRNA". It matches the Rfam family "Bacterial small subunit ribosomal RNA", at positions 28 to 423 of the family's 1533-position model. The record is from RNAcentral.
GACGAACGCUGGCGGCGUGCCUAAUACAUGCAAGUCGAGCGGAUUGAUGGGAGCUUGCUCCCUGAUAUCAGCGGCGGACGGGUGAGUAACACGUGGGCAACCUGCCUAUAAGACUGGGAUAACUUCGGGAAACCGGAGCUAAUACCGGAUAAUCCCUUUCCUCUCAUGAGGAAAGGCUGAAAGAUGGUUUACGCUAUCACUUAUAGAUGGGCCCGCGGCGCAUUAGCUAGUUGGUGAGGUAACGGCUCACCAAGGCAACGAUGCGUAGCCGACCUGAGAGGGUGAUCGGCCACACUGGGACUGAGACACGGCCCAGACUCCUACGGGAGCAGCAGUAGGGAAUCUUCCGCAAUGGACGAAAGUCUGACGGAGCAACGCCGCGUGAGUGAUGAAGGUUUUCGGAU